RNAcentral lists this ribosomal RNA (474 nucleotides) under uncultured fungus. Its description in RNAcentral is "eukaryotic LSU rRNA". The stretch from base 170 to 323 matches the Rfam family "5.8S ribosomal RNA". The record is from RNAcentral. Lineage: Eukaryota; Fungi.
CAUUAAAGAAUCGCCCCGUUUUUUGAAAUGGGUUCUAUUCCCAAACCGUGUAUACAUACCUUUGUUGCUUUGGCAGGCCGCUUUCUAGGCGUCGGCUCCGGCUGACUGCGCCUGCCAGAGGACCCAAACUCUUUUGUUUAGUGAUGUCUGAGUACUAUAUAAUAGUUAAAACUCUCAACAACGGAUCUCUUGGUUCUGGCAUCGAUGAAGAACGCAGCGAAAUGCGAUAAGUAAUGUGAAUUGCAGAAUUCAGUGAAUCAUCGAAUCUUUGAACGCACAUUGCGCCCCUUGGUAUUCCGAGGGGCAUGCCUGUUCGAGCGUCAUUAUAACCACUCAAGCCUCGGCUUGGUCUUGGGGUUCGCGGUCUCGCGGCCCUUAAAAUCAGUGGCGGUGCCGUCUGGCUCUAAGCGUAGUAAUUCUCUCGCUAUAGGGUCUAGGCGACUACCUGCCAGAACCCCCAUUCUUUACGGUUGA